RNAcentral lists this ribosomal RNA (459 nucleotides) under Vibrio harveyi. RNAcentral describes it as "bacterial SSU rRNA". It matches the Rfam family "Bacterial small subunit ribosomal RNA", at positions 10 to 455 of the family's 1533-position model. Lineage: Bacteria; Pseudomonadati; Pseudomonadota; Gammaproteobacteria; Vibrionales; Vibrionaceae. The record is from RNAcentral.
AGUUUGAUCCUGGCUCAGAUUGAACGCUGGCGGCAGGCCUAACACAUGCAAGUCGAGCGGAAACGAGUUAUNUGAACCUUCGGGGNACGAUAACGGCGUCGAGCGGCGGACGGGUGAGUAAUGCCUAGGAAAUUGCCCUGAUGUGGGGGAUAACCAUUGGAAACGAUGGCUAAUACCGCAUAAUGCCUACGGGCCAAAGAGGGGGACCUUCGGGCCUCUCGCGUCAGGAUAUGCCUAGGUGGGAUUAGCUAGUUGGUGAGGUAAUGGCUCACCAAGGCGACGAUCCCUAGCUGGUCUGAGAGGAUGAUCAGCCACACUGGAACUGAGACACGGUCCAGACUCCUACGGGAGGCAGCAGUGGGGAAUAUUGCACAAUGGGCGCAAGCCUGAUGCAGCCAUGCCGCGUGUGUGAAGAAGGCCUUCGGGUUGUAAAGCACUUUCAGUCGUGAGGAAGGUGGU